ACAUGAGGUAGGGAAAAUUUACUUAUUUACUUAUUCAAGUCUUUGUACCCCCUCAAUUUGAAGUUUUUUAAUCACUUAAUGGUGGAAUUCCACAUAUAUUUAAAAGUUAAAAGUUGGAAAUGUAACAUAUAAGUAAACAUCAGACAAAAACAGGGAACAAAAUGGAUCGCAAUACUAAUUAAUUAAAGUAGUAAAGUAGUGUAGUUCCGGGUGUAAAAUUCCAAUUUCACAUUAUAUUCGGUAUAAAUGGAAAAUGUAAACAAUAAGUAAACAUUGCAUCUAACUAAAGGUAGACAGAUAGAAACUGUGAUCAAGAUGGAUAGUAGACUUUGGUGGAUCCUUAUCAGUGCAUUUUUGUUUUAUGGACCUGGUCGUCGUUGCUUAUGUCCGAAUAAUCGCAAAACUUCUUAUAGCUGUUGUACACCUAUACCCAAGGGAUAAAAAUAAUUUCAAAUAUAAAAUGCAAAAAUUUAA
This is a long non-coding RNA of Drosophila serrata, 474 nucleotides long. NCBI's taxonomy places the organism in Eukaryota, Metazoa, Arthropoda, Insecta, Diptera, Drosophilidae. The record is from RefSeq and is a predicted model, not a curated record.